UUUGGCUUUUUACGCAGUGCUCGGUGUUUGCGCAAAUUCACCGUGUGCGUUUAGCAACGGGUUAAUGCAACUCGUUCGCUGCGAGCGACCUCAUGUGCGUCCCGUCUUCUCACGUCACGCGGAGCCAAGCGUCGAUGUGCACGCGCCGAAGCGGCUAACAGGAUUAUGACGACAACCACGCCACAAGCUGUUCAUCUUGUGCGGCCCACAGGACGGACGACCGAUGCGUGAACAUUCCGUCGGAUUUGAACGGUUCCUUCACCCGCUGAGCCUGGAGACCUGAAGGUCUGGACGAGCAGCCCAGGUAGGUUUAAACCACGACCAACACUCACACUUCACUCUCUGUCCUUGUGAGGACCUCUCUUGACCCAGCCUCUCCCCCUCAACCUAACCAUCCAAAACACGGUUAUUUUGGGCUUGACUCUGUGAGAACCAGCCACACGGUCCUCACAACGCACACACAGUCCAAUUGAGAAGAUCCCAGAUCGGCACAAGACACUACCUACACCUCCAUACACUCCAAAGUGAACACCUCCACACACUUGAGGCACCUCAAGUGUCGCCACAGGACCCUCACCAAGUCACACAGAAAAGCAAAGCCCAACACUGUGUUGUAGUGGCAGCAGUUUGAUGACAUCAUCACUCACUUGGUGGCCAGCAGCAUGUUCUUGCGUGUGUGGAGCUCGUUGGGGUCCGUGUGCUGCCGGUUCAGGUACUCGCUCACGGCCUUGGUGGGAAACUCCGUUUCACAGAUGUAGCCGAAGUCCCGGGCCAGAUGGACGGCCUCCCCUGCAGGAGGAACAGAAGAGUUCAG
Molecule: long non-coding RNA, 814 nt
Organism: Synchiropus splendidus (mandarinfish)
Lineage: Eukaryota; Metazoa; Chordata; Actinopteri; Syngnathiformes; Callionymidae
Exons: 3
Source: RefSeq, a predicted model, not a curated record